Molecule: ribosomal RNA, 292 nt
Filed under: uncultured bacterium
Lineage: Bacteria
Description: partial 16S ribosomal RNA
Rfam family: Bacterial small subunit ribosomal RNA
Source: RNAcentral
GUGUCAGCCGCCGCGGUAAGACAGAGGUGGCGAGCGUUGUUCGGAAUCACUGGGCUUAAAGGGCGCGUAGGUGGUAGUGCAAGUCCGUGGUGGAAUCCGGGAGCUUAACUCCCGAACUGCCAUGGAAACUGCGUUACUUGAGUCAGCGAGGGGAGGGUAGAAUUCCUGGUGUAGCGGUGAAAUGCGUAGAUAUCAGGAGGAAGGCCUGUGGCGAAGGCGGCCCUCUGGUGCUGGACUGACACUGAGGCGCGAAAGCGUGGGGAGCAAACAGGAUUAGAAACCCUCGUAGUCC